Molecule: long non-coding RNA, 568 nt
Filed under: Capsella grandiflora
Lineage: Eukaryota; Viridiplantae; Streptophyta; Magnoliopsida; Brassicales; Brassicaceae
Description: long non-coding RNA (CGRA_LNC001503)
Source: RNAcentral
CUAACGGUAUCCAAAUCCUUGCCAUUGUUGUCAAGCACAACGUCAAACGUUUGACCUCCGACCACAUUGGCAACAUCAGCCGGGUUCCCCCACACCGUCUUUCCUCCGGCGCUGACAAUUUCCUGUCGACAGAUGAAAGAUUGUAUCUGGUCGGAACUGGAUUCAGAAAAAACUCACAAAAAGUGGGAACAUUCACAAAUCUUACGGAGAAUCGGCUGAAGGGAGGUUUCUUCAUCUUGUCGGAAGAUUCAUCGCCGACGGUCAUUAUGGUGACGCCAUGUCCGGCGGAGAGAAGCUCUUUGGCGAAGUAAAAUCCGAUCACGGCAUGACCGCCGCUGUUGGUGUUGACUAUAAGUACAUUCUUCUUCUCACCGACGGAGCUGGCCUUAACGGUAAACCUCUGAGGAGAUGACGUUCGGGAAGUCCUCAAAGAGUAUGUGAAGAGAGAAGAAGAAGAAGAAGAAGAAGAAGAAGAAGAGAGAGAGGAAAAGGAGGAAGAUGAAGAGGGUAGAGAGAAGCGGUGGAGAGAUGGCGGGAUCAGCAGAUUAUUGAUCGGAGAAGUUGUUUU